RNAcentral lists this ribosomal RNA (778 nucleotides) under Niphargus sp. PN1259. RNAcentral's name for it is "partial 28S ribosomal RNA". Lineage: Eukaryota; Metazoa; Arthropoda; Malacostraca; Amphipoda; Niphargidae. The record is from RNAcentral.
AUGGAGCUUGGAAGGCUUCCGCAGCCAGCAUUCAUCCUACGAGGUGUUUGUAAGACAUUGAGUGUGGCUCGUCAGGCGUAGCAUUGAGUUUGCCAGGUUAGCUGUCGUGCGGGGGUUCAGUUAAGGGGGCCGGGCCUUUGGCUUAGCUUCCCUUGCUGUUCCCUUUUGAACGGACGUUCAGAGCUCUAUUGUCUAAUGCGGUUAUGCCCACCACGGCACGUUGUGAGGUCACCCACAGGCUCAAACUGCCGAUCGCGCAUCCAGGAUGAUGGCAACGAUGCGUUGUUCAGCUUCGCGGCUGUAUCGCGUGUCUAGUCCUGGGUCGGGCGGCGACCGAGAUAAACCUGGUAUGAUCCUCUUGCGACGAGCUGCUUUCUGGCCAGACCGACGUCCAGGCGCUUCCACUGUGCCGGAAGCGUCAAAUCCCAGGCGGUGUGAACCCAGCUGCAUUAUGCAAGGUCUCUCAGCCGGGCGUUGGUCUGAGUGGUGUUAAGUCCAGCACCAUCGGUCACGUCUCGAAACACGGGCCAAGGAGUAUAGCAUGUGUGCAAGUCUAAGGGUCUCACAAAACCCGAAGGCGAAGUGAAAGCAAGACUGUGGCGGGGGAGCUACGGCGAACCCGCCGGCCUAGUGGCGCAUGCGUCGCCUGGCUUAUAGCAGAGCUGAUCCUGUUUUCUCGGUUAAUUCUUGGUGCAGGCGCAAGCUCCGGGCUCACGUACAACACUGGUUACGCCUCGUGUGUGGCUGUGUUGUGAGCACCGUGGAGCAUGCAUGCUAU